RNAcentral lists this ribosomal RNA (1800 nucleotides) under Escherichia coli. RNAcentral's name for it is "partial 23S ribosomal RNA". It matches the Rfam family "Bacterial large subunit ribosomal RNA", at positions 144 to 1968 of the family's 2925-position model. Lineage: Bacteria; Pseudomonadati; Pseudomonadota; Gammaproteobacteria; Enterobacterales; Enterobacteriaceae. The record is from RNAcentral.
CACACUAUCAUUAACUGAAUCCAUAGGUUAAUGAGGCGAACCGGGGGAACUGAAACAUCUAAGUACCCCGAGGAAAAGAAAUCAACCGAGAUUCCCCCAGUAGCGGCGAGCGAACGGGGAGCAGCCCAGAGCCUGAAUCAGUGUGUGUGUUAGUGGAAGCGUCUGGAAAGGCGCGCGAUACAGGGUGACAGCCCCGUACACAAAAAUGCACAUGCUGUGAGCUCGAUGAGUAGGGCGGGACACGUGGUAUCCUGUCUGAAUAUGGGGGGACCAUCCUCCAAGGCUAAAUACUCCUGACUGACCGAUAGUGAACCAGUACCGUGAGGGAAAGGCGAAAAGAACCCCGGCGAGGGGAGUGAAAAAGAACCUGAAACCGUGUACGUACAAGCAGUGGGAGCACGCUUAGGCGUGUGACUGCGUACCUUUUGUAUAAUGGGUCAGCGACUUAUAUUCUGUAGCAAGGUUAACCGAAUAGGGGAGCCGAAGGGAAACCGAGUCUUAACUGGGCGUUAAGUUGCAGGGUAUAGACCCGAAACCCGGUGAUCUAGCCAUGGGCAGGUUGAAGGUUGGGUAACACUAACUGGAGGACCGAACCGACUAAUGUUGAAAAAUUAGCGGAUGACUUGUGGCUGGGGGUGAAAGGCCAAUCAAACCGGGAGAUAGCUGGUUCUCCCCGAAAGCUAUUUAGGUAGCGCCUCGUGAAUUCAUCUCCGGGGGUAGAGCACUGUUUCGGCAAGGGGGUCAUCCCGACUUACCAACCCGAUGCAAACUGCGAAUACCGGAGAAUGUUAUCACGGGAGACACACGGCGGGUGCUAACGUCCGUCGUGAAGAGGGAAACAACCCAGACCGCCAGCUAAGGUCCCAAAGUCAUGGUUAAGUGGGAAACGAUGUGGGAAGGCCCAGACAGCCAGGAUGUUGGCUUAGAAGCAGCCAUCAUUUAAAGAAAGCGUAAUAGCUCACUGGUCGAGUCGGCCUGCGCGGAAGAUGUAACGGGGCUAAACCAUGCACCGAAGCUGCGGCAGCGACGCUUAUGCGUUGUUGGGUAGGGGAGCGUUCUGUAAGCCUGCGAAGGUGUGCUGUGAGGCAUGCUGGAGGUAUCAGAAGUGCGAAUGCUGACAUAAGUAACGAUAAAGCGGGUGAAAAGCCCGCUCGCCGGAAGACCAAGGGUUCCUGUCCAACGUUAAUCGGGGCAGGGUGAGUCGACCCCUAAGGCGAGGCCGAAAGGCGUAGUCGAUGGGAAACAGGUUAAUAUUCCUGUACUUGGUGUUACUGCGAAGGGGGGACGGAGAAGGCUAUGUUGGCCGGGCGACGGUUGUCCCGGUUUAAGCGUGUAGGCUGGUUUUCCAGGCAAAUCCGGAAAAUCAAGGCUGAGGCGUGAUGACGAGGCACUACGGUGCUGAAGCAACAAAUGCCCUGCUUCCAGGAAAAGCCUCUAAGCAUCAGGUAACAUCAAAUCGUACCCCAAACCGACACAGGUGGUCAGGUAGAGAAUACCAAGGCGCUUGAGAGAACUCGGGUGAAGGAACUAGGCAAAAUGGUGCCGUAACUUCGGGAGAAGGCACGCUGAUAUGUAGGUGAAGUCCCUCGCGGAUGGAGCUGAAAUCAGUCGAAGAUACCAGCUGGCUGCAACUGUUUAUUAAAAACACAGCACUGUGCAAACACGAAAGUGGACGUAUACGGUGUGACGCCUGCCCGGUGCCGGAAGGUUAAUUGAUGGGGUCAGCGCAAGCGAAGCUCUUGAUCGAAGCCCCGGUAAACGGCGGCCGUAACUAUAACGGUCCUAAGGUAGCGAAAUUCC